This 301-nucleotide ribosomal RNA is filed under the name uncultured bacterium. RNAcentral describes it as "partial 16S ribosomal RNA". It matches the Rfam family "Bacterial small subunit ribosomal RNA", at positions 509 to 807 of the family's 1533-position model. The record is from RNAcentral.
CAGCCGCCGCGGUAAUACGUAGGGUGCGAGCGUUAAUCGGAAUUACUGGGCGUAAAGCGUGCGCAGGCGGUUGUGUAAGGCAGGUGUGAAAUCCCCGGGCUUAACCUGGGAACUGCGCUUGUGACUGCACAGCUAGAGUAUGGCAGAGGGGGGUGGAAUUCCACGUGUAGCAGUGAAAUGCGUAGAGAUGUGGAGGAACACCGAUGGCGAAGGCAGCCCCCUGGGCCAAUACUGACGCUCAUGCACGAAAGCGUGGGGAGCAAACAGGAUUAGAUACCCCCGUAGUCCCUGUCUCUUAUAC